RNAcentral lists this ribosomal RNA (1444 nucleotides) under Streptococcus thermophilus. Its description in RNAcentral is "bacterial SSU rRNA". It matches the Rfam family "Bacterial small subunit ribosomal RNA". The record is from RNAcentral. Lineage: Bacteria; Bacillati; Bacillota; Bacilli; Lactobacillales; Streptococcaceae.
CUCAGGACGAACGCUGGCGGCGUGCCUAAUACAUGCAAGUAGAACGCUGAAGAGAGGAGCUUGCUCUUCUUGGAUGAGUUGCGAACGGGUGAGUAACGCGUAGGUAACCUGCCUUGUAGCGGGGGAUAACUAUUGGAAACGAUAGCUAAUACCGCAUAACAAUGGAUGACACAUGUCAUUUAUUUGAAAGGGGCAAUUGCUCCACUACAAGAUGGACCUGCGUUGUAUUAGCUAGUAGGUGAGGUAAUGGCUCACCUAGGCGACGAUACAUAGCCGACCUGAGAGGGUGAUCGGCCACACUGGGACUGAGACACGGCCCAGACCCUACGGGAGGCAGCAGUAGGGAAUCUUCGGCAAUGGGGGCAACCCUGACCGAGCAACGCCGCGUGAGUGAAGAAGGUUUUCGGAUCGUAAAGCUCUGUUGUAAGUCAAGAACGGGUGUGAGAGUGGAAAGUUCACACUGUGACGGUAGCUUACCAGAAAGGGACGGCUAACUACGUGCCAGCAGCCGCGGUAAUACGUAGGUCCCGAGCGUUGUCCGGAUUUAUUGGGCGUAAAGCGAGCGCAGGCGGUUUGAUAAGUCUGAAGUUAAAGGCGUGGCUCAACCAUAGUUCGCUUUGGAAACUGUCAAACUUGAGUGCAGAAGGGGAGAGUGGAAUUCCAUGUGUAGCGGUGAAAUGCGUAGAUAUAUGGAGGAACACCGGUGGCGAAAGCGGCUCUCUGGUCUGUAACUGACGCUGAGGCUCGAAAGCGUGGGGAGCGAACAGGAUUAGAUACCCUGGUAGUCCACGCCGUAAACGAUGAGUGCUAGGUGUUGGAUCCUUUCCGGGAUUCAGUGCCGCAGCUAACGCAUUAAGCACUCCGCCUGGGGAGUACGACCGCAAGGUUGAAACUCAAAGGAAUUGACGGGGGCCCGCACAAGCGGUGGAGCAUGUGGUUUAAUUCGAAGCAACGCGAAGAACCUUACCAGGUCUUGACAUCCCGAUGCUAUUUCUAGAGAUAGAAAGUUACUUCGGUACAUCGGUGACAGGUGGUGCAUGGUUGUCGUCAGCUCGUGUCGUGAGAUGUUGGGUUAAGUCCCGCAACGAGCGCAACCCCUAUUGUUAGUUGCCAUCAUUCAGUUGGGCACUCUAGCGAGACUGCCGGUAAUAAACCGGAGGAAGGUGGGGAUGACGUCAAAUCAUCAUGCCCCUUAUGACCUGGGCUACACACGUGCUACAAUGGUUGGUACAACGAGUUGCGAGUCGGUGACGGCGAGCUAAUCUCUUAAAGCCAAUCUCAGUUCGGAUUGUAGGCUGCAACUCGCCUCAUGAAGUCGGAAUCGCUAGUAAUCGCGGAUCAGCACGCCGCGGUGAAUACGUUCCCGGGCCUUGUACACACCGCCCGUCACACCACGAGAGUUUGUAAACCCGAAGUCGGUGAGGUAACCUUUUGGAGCCAGCCG